This 425-nucleotide ribosomal RNA is filed under the name uncultured bacterium. RNAcentral's name for it is "partial 16S ribosomal RNA". It matches the Rfam family "Bacterial small subunit ribosomal RNA", at positions 354 to 796 of the family's 1533-position model. The record is from RNAcentral.
GUGGGGAAUAUUGGGCAAUGGGCGAAAGCCUGACCCAGCAACGCCGCGUGAAGGAAGAAGGUUUUCGGAUCGUAAACUUCUAUCCUUGGUGAAGAUAAUGACGGUAGCCGAGAAGGAAGCCCCGGCUAACUACGUGCCAGCAGCCGCGGUAAUACGUAGGGGGCAAGCGUUGUCCGGAAUGAUUGGGCGUAAAGGGCGCGUAGGCGGCCUGGUAAGUCUGGAGUGAAAGUCCUGCUUUUAAGGUGGGAAUUGCUUUGGAUACUGUCGGGCUUGAGUGCAGGAGAGGUAAGUGGAAUUCCCGGUGUAGCGGUGAAAUGCGUAGAGAUCGGGAGGAACACCAGUGGCGAAGGCGACUUACUGGACUGUAACUGACGCUGAGGCGCGAAAGUGUGGGGAGCAAACAGGAUUAGAUACCCGAGUAGUCC